This is a long non-coding RNA of Dromaius novaehollandiae (emu), 12968 nucleotides long. RefSeq lists it as uncharacterized. The transcript has 10 exons. Lineage: Eukaryota; Metazoa; Chordata; Aves; Casuariiformes; Dromaiidae. The record is from RefSeq and is a predicted model, not a curated record.
AAAAGAGAAGUGCAAACAGAAAAAGGACAAAAGGUUGUGCAGGAAAGCCUCAGGCCUCCUGCGCAGGCUGAGUUGGGCAAGAAGAAGGUGGCUUUGGAGAAGCUGCAAGCGACGAGAGUGAAGAAUCUGCAAGCAAGUCACGAGGCCGAAGAUGCAAGUCGGAGAAGACGGAGGAGAAGGAAAGGGACCCUUGACGCUGGCACCUCCGUGUAGGCAGGGCUCCGGAAGCAGAUCCACGUUCCCUGCUGCUCCUGAGCCCCUUUGUUGCCCAGAGCAGCGUGGCCGCCCUGUAACGAGGGCCGCAGUCUCUGCUCAGUUGGCCGUCUGCCCAGCUACCCCUCUUGCCGGCUGGUGAGAGUGACUGCCCUGUAAGGAGGGUGGAAGUCAGCGUGCUGCCCAUUUCUGGGGGAGAGGGAGCUCUUCAGGUGCCUGAGCCAUGGGACCAGCCCGUAAACCGGGUCCUGGUCUCGGCACCGGCGGCCCUAUGCCGUGCAAUGGCAGCCUGCGUAGCGUGGCCCCCUGUAAUCAGGGUGGGAGCCGCGGGCUACGUAUUUCUAGGCCCUUGGUACCCGGAGCCGCCUGCCCGCUCCGUAAUCGGGGUCGAGGUCUCUGCCCGCGGGGCUUCACGCCCGGGCGGCAGUUACUGGGGCCGGGCUCGCCUGUAACUCGGGCGCGUAGCCCCAGGCUUCACUGUCUCGGUGUGUGCCGUGUGCUGCACUUUGAGAGGAGGUGUGAAGGCCUUUUGGGUGUAAGUAUCGGCCCCCUGCCGGUAGGCUGGAUGUAGUUUUAUACCUGUCUGCCCCUGGGAGAAGAGGAGGCCGGCGGCGGUGCUGCAGCGUGCUCUUUUUUUCUCUUCUGGGAAGACUUUUGUUUGGUGUGUCUGUUGGUGUGCGUGGGGAUGAGCGUGGCUGUUGCGGAAGGUGUUGUUUUGCGUGUUUAGGCCCUAACUUACUGCAGCGUACUUUAUUCAGCCUUCCCAGAGGCAGAAAACGAGAACCGUUGCGUGCGCUAACCAAAGGAUCCUCCUGCCUUCCCCCAGAAGGGCCCGGUGUGGGUACAGGACGCAUCCGCUUGCUGUCGAGGAGAAGGCAGGCUCCUUAUGAGCCCCUUUGGCAGGCACUCGGGCAUGAUCUGCUUGUAAGUGAGGAGCAGGCCAGCCUCCUCUGAGGCCCCUUCCCCAGCCAUCAGCGUCCAGAGUCCUGGCCCUUCCUCCCUGGCCUCCAACGCGCCCGGAUGCCUCUGGCAAAGCCUCAGGCCUCCUGCGCAGACGUGCUGCUGGAGGAGGACCCCGCUUCUGCGGUGGGGUGAAGCGGGCAAGAAGAAGGUGGCUUUGGAGAAGCUGCAAGCGACGAGAGUGAAGAAUCUGCAAGCAAGUCACGAGGCCGAAGAUGCAAGUCGGAGAAGACGGAGGAGAAGGAAAGGGACCCUUGACGCUGGCACCUCCGUGUAGGCAGGGCUCCGGAAGCAGAUCCACGUUCCCUGCUGCUCCUGAGCCCCUUUGUUGCCCAGAGCAGCGUGGCCGCCCUGUAACGAGGGCCGCGGUCUCUGCUCAGUUGGCCGUCUGCCCAGCUACCCCUCUUGCCGGCUGGUGAGAGUGACUGCCCUGUAAGGAGGGUGGAAGUCAGCGUGCUGCCCAUUUCUGGGGGAGAGGGAGCUCUUCAGGUGCCUGAGCCAUGGGACCAGCCCGUAAACCGGGUCCUGGUCUCGGCACCGGCGGCCCUAUGCCGUGCAAUGGCAGCCUGCGUAGCGUGGCCCCCUGUAAUCAGGGUGGGAGCCGCGGGCUACGUAUUUCUAGGCCCUUGGUACCCGGAGCCGCCUGCCCGCUCCGUAAUCGGGGUCGAGGUCUCUGCCCGCGGGGCUUCACGCCCGGGCGGCAGUUACUGGGGCCGGGCUCGCCUGUAACUCGGGCGCGUAGCCCCAGGCUUCACUGUCUCGGUGUGUGCCGUGUGCUGCACUUUGAGAGGAGGUGUGAAGGCCUUUUGGGUGUAAGUAUCGGCCCCCUGCCGGUAGGCUGGAUGUAGUUUUAUACCUGUCUGCCCCUGGGAGAAGAGGAGGCCGGCGGCGGUGCUGCAGCGUGCUCUUUUUUUCUCUUCUGGGAAGACUUUUGUUUGGUGUGUCUGUUGGUGUGCGUGGGGAUGAGCGUGGCUGUUGCGGAAGGUGUUGUUUUGCGUGUUUAGGCCCUAACUUACUGCAGCGUACUUUAUUCAGCCUUCCCAGAGGCAGAAAACGAGAACCGUUGCGUGCGCUAACCAAAGGAUCCUCCUGCCUUCCCCCAGAAGGGCCCGGUGUGGGUACAGGACGCAUCCGCUUGCUGUCGAGGAGAAGGCAGGCUCCUUAUGAGCCCCUUUGGCAGGCACUCGGGCAUGAUCUGCUUGUAAGUGAGGAGCAGGCCAGCCUCCUCUGAGGCCCCUUCCCCAGCCAUCAGCGUCCAGAGUCCUGGCCCUUCCUCCCUGGCCUCCAACGCGCCCGGAUGCCUCUGGCAAAGCCUCAGGCCUCCUGCGCAGACGUGCUGCUGGAGGAGGACCCCGCUUCUGCGGUGGGGUGAAGCGGGCAAGAAGAAGGUGGCUUUGGAGAAGCUGCAAGCGACGAGAGUGAAGAAUCUGCAAGCAAGUCACGAGGCCGAAGAUGCAAGUCGGAGAAGACGGAGGAGAAGGAAAGGGACCCUUGACGCUGGCACCUCCGUGUAGGCAGGGCUCCGGAAGCAGAUCCACGUUCCCUGCUGCUCCUGAGCCCCUUUGUUGCCCAGAGCAGCGUGGCCGCCCUGUAACGAGGGCCGCGGUCUCUGCUCAGUUGGCCGUCUGCCCAGCUACCCCUCUUGCCGGCUGGUGAGAGUGACUGCCCUGUAAGGAGGGUGGAAGUCAGCGUGCUGCCCAUUUCUGGGGGAGAGGGAGCUCUUCAGGUGCCUGAGCCAUGGGACCAGCCCGUAAACCGGGUCCUGGUCUCGGCACCGGCGGCCCUAUGCCGUGCAAUGGCAGCCUGCGUAGCGUGGCCCCCUGUAAUCAGGGUGGGAGCCGCGGGCUACGUAUUUCUAGGCCCUUGGUACCCGGAGCCGCCUGCCCGCUCCGUAAUCGGGGUCGAGGUCUCUGCCCGCGGGGCUUCACGCCCGGGCGGCAGUUACUGGGGCCGGGCUCGCCUGUAACUCGGGCGCGUAGCCCCAGGCUUCACUGUCUCGGUGUGUGCCGUGUGCUGCACUUUGAGAGGAGGUGUGAAGGCCUUUUGGGUGUAAGUAUCGGCCCCCUGCCGGUAGGCUGGAUGUAGUUUUAUACCUGUCUGCCCCUGGGAGAAGAGGAGGCCGGCGGCGGUGCUGCAGCGUGCUCUUUUUUUCUCUUCUGGGAAGACUUUUGUUUGGUGUGUCUGUUGGUGUGCGUGGGGAUGAGCGUGGCUGUUGCGGAAGGUGUUGUUUUGCGUGUUUAGGCCCUAACUUACUGCAGCGUACUUUAUUCAGCCUUCCCAGAGGCAGAAAACGAGAACCGUUGCGUGCGCUAACCAAAGGAUCCUCCUGCCUUCCCCCAGAAGGGCCCGGUGUGGGUACAGGACGCAUCCGCUUGCUGUCGAGGAGAAGGCAGGCUCCUUAUGAGCCCCUUUGGCAGGCACUCGGGCAUGAUCUGCUUGUAAGUGAGGAGCAGGCCAGCCUCCUCUGAGGCCCCUUCCCCAGCCAUCAGCGUCCAGAGUCCUGGCCCUUCCUCCCUGGCCUCCAACGCGCCCGGAUGCCUCUGGCAAAGCCUCAGGCCUCCUGCGCAGACGUGCUGCUGGAGGAGGACCCCGCUUCUGCGGUGGGGUGAAGCGGGCAAGAAGAAGGUGGCUUUGGAGAAGCUGCAAGCGACGAGAGUGAAGAAUCUGCAAGCAAGUCACGAGGCCGAAGAUGCAAGUCGGAGAAGACGGAGGAGAAGGAAAGGGACCCUUGACGCUGGCACCUCCGUGUAGGCAGGGCUCCGGAAGCAGAUCCACGUUCCCUGCUGCUCCUGAGCCCCUUUGUUGCCCAGAGCAGCGUGGCCGCCCUGUAACGAGGGCCGCGGUCUCUGCUCAGUUGGCCGUCUGCCCAGCUACCCCUCUUGCCGGCUGGUGAGAGUGACUGCCCUGUAAGGAGGGUGGAAGUCAGCGUGCUGCCCAUUUCUGGGGGAGAGGGAGCUCUUCAGGUGCCUGAGCCAUGGGACCAGCCCGUAAACCGGGUCCUGGUCUCGGCACCGGCGGCCCUAUGCCGUGCAAUGGCAGCCUGCGUAGCGUGGCCCCCUGUAAUCAGGGUGGGAGCCGCGGGCUACGUAUUUCUAGGCCCUUGGUACCCGGAGCCGCCUGCCCGCUCCGUAAUCGGGGUCGAGGUCUCUGCCCGCGGGGCUUCACGCCCGGGCGGCAGUUACUGGGGCCGGGCUCGCCUGUAACUCGGGCGCGUAGCCCCAGGCUUCACUGUCUCGGUGUGUGCCGUGUGCUGCACUUUGAGAGGAGGUGUGAAGGCCUUUUGGGUGUAAGUAUCGGCCCCCUGCCGGUAGGCUGGAUGUAGUUUUAUACCUGUCUGCCCCUGGGAGAAGAGGAGGCCGGCGGCGGUGCUGCAGCGUGCUCUUUUUUUCUCUUCUGGGAAGACUUUUGUUUGGUGUGUCUGUUGGUGUGCGUGGGGAUGAGCGUGGCUGUUGCGGAAGGUGUUGUUUUGCGUGUUUAGGCCCUAACUUACUGCAGCGUACUUUAUUCAGCCUUCCCAGAGGCAGAAAACGAGAACCGUUGCGUGCGCUAACCAAAGGAUCCUCCUGCCUUCCCCCAGAAGGGCCCGGUGUGGGUACAGGACGCAUCCGCUUGCUGUCGAGGAGAAGGCAGGCUCCUUAUGAGCCCCUUUGGCAGGCACUCGGGCAUGAUCUGCUUGUAAGUGAGGAGCAGGCCAGCCUCCUCUGAGGCCCCUUCCCCAGCCAUCAGCGUCCAGAGUCCUGGCCCUUCCUCCCUGGCCUCCAACGCGCCCGGAUGCCUCUGGCAAAGCCUCAGGCCUCCUGCGCAGACGUGCUGCUGGAGGAGGACCCCGCUUCUGCGGUGGGGUGAAGCGGGCAAGAAGAAGGUGGCUUUGGAGAAGCUGCAAGCGACGAGAGUGAAGAAUCUGCAAGCAAGUCACGAGGCCGAAGAUGCAAGUCGGAGAAGACGGAGGAGAAGGAAAGGGACCCUUGACGCUGGCACCUCCGUGUAGGCAGGGCUCCGGAAGCAGAUCCACGUUCCCUGCUGCUCCUGAGCCCCUUUGUUGCCCAGAGCAGCGUGGCCGCCCUGUAACGAGGGCCGCGGUCUCUGCUCAGUUGGCCGUCUGCCCAGCUACCCCUCUUGCCGGCUGGUGAGAGUGACUGCCCUGUAAGGAGGGUGGAAGUCAGCGUGCUGCCCAUUUCUGGGGGAGAGGGAGCUCUUCAGGUGCCUGAGCCAUGGGACCAGCCCGUAAACCGGGUCCUGGUCUCGGCACCGGCGGCCCUAUGCCGUGCAAUGGCAGCCUGCGUAGCGUGGCCCCCUGUAAUCAGGGUGGGAGCCGCGGGCUACGUAUUUCUAGGCCCUUGGUACCCGGAGCCGCCUGCCCGCUCCGUAAUCGGGGUCGAGGUCUCUGCCCGCGGGGCUUCACGCCCGGGCGGCAGUUACUGGGGCCGGGCUCGCCUGUAACUCGGGCGCGUAGCCCCAGGCUUCACUGUCUCGGUGUGUGCCGUGUGCUGCACUUUGAGAGGAGGUGUGAAGGCCUUUUGGGUGUAAGUAUCGGCCCCCUGCCGGUAGGCUGGAUGUAGUUUUAUACCUGUCUGCCCCUGGGAGAAGAGGAGGCCGGCGGCGGUGCUGCAGCGUGCUCUUUUUUUCUCUUCUGGGAAGACUUUUGUUUGGUGUGUCUGUUGGUGUGCGUGGGGAUGAGCGUGGCUGUUGCGGAAGGUGUUGUUUUGCGUGUUUAGGCCCUAACUUACUGCAGCGUACUUUAUUCAGCCUUCCCAGAGGCAGAAAACGAGAACCGUUGCGUGCGCUAACCAAAGGAUCCUCCUGCCUUCCCCCAGAAGGGCCCGGUGUGGGUACAGGACGCAUCCGCUUGCUGUCGAGGAGAAGGCAGGCUCCUUAUGAGCCCCUUUGGCAGGCACUCGGGCAUGAUCUGCUUGUAAGUGAGGAGCAGGCCAGCCUCCUCUGAGGCCCCUUCCCCAGCCAUCAGCGUCCAGAGUCCUGGCCCUUCCUCCCUGGCCUCCAACGCGCCCGGAUGCCUCUGGCAAAGCCUCAGGCCUCCUGCGCAGACGUGCUGCUGGAGGAGGACCCCGCUUCUGCGGUGGGGUGAAGCGGGCAAGAAGAAGGUGGCUUUGGAGAAGCUGCAAGCGACGAGAGUGAAGAAUCUGCAAGCAAGUCACGAGGCCGAAGAUGCAAGUCGGAGAAGACGGAGGAGAAGGAAAGGGACCCUUGACGCUGGCACCUCCGUGUAGGCAGGGCUCCGGAAGCAGAUCCACGUUCCCUGCUGCUCCUGAGCCCCUUUGUUGCCCAGAGCAGCGUGGCCGCCCUGUAACGAGGGCCGCGGUCUCUGCUCAGUUGGCCGUCUGCCCAGCUACCCCUCUUGCCGGCUGGUGAGAGUGACUGCCCUGUAAGGAGGGUGGAAGUCAGCGUGCUGCCCAUUUCUGGGGGAGAGGGAGCUCUUCAGGUGCCUGAGCCAUGGGACCAGCCCGUAAACCGGGUCCUGGUCUCGGCACCGGCGGCCCUAUGCCGUGCAAUGGCAGCCUGCGUAGCGUGGCCCCCUGUAAUCAGGGUGGGAGCCGCGGGCUACGUAUUUCUAGGCCCUUGGUACCCGGAGCCGCCUGCCCGCUCCGUAAUCGGGGUCGAGGUCUCUGCCCGCGGGGCUUCACGCCCGGGCGGCAGUUACUGGGGCCGGGCUCGCCUGUAACUCGGGCGCGUAGCCCCAGGCUUCACUGUCUCGGUGUGUGCCGUGUGCUGCACUUUGAGAGGAGGUGUGAAGGCCUUUUGGGUGUAAGUAUCGGCCCCCUGCCGGUAGGCUGGAUGUAGUUUUAUACCUGUCUGCCCCUGGGAGAAGAGGAGGCCGGCGGCGGUGCUGCAGCGUGCUCUUUUUUUCUCUUCUGGGAAGACUUUUGUUUGGUGUGUCUGUUGGUGUGCGUGGGGAUGAGCGUGGCUGUUGCGGAAGGUGUUGUUUUGCGUGUUUAGGCCCUAACUUACUGCAGCGUACUUUAUUCAGCCUUCCCAGAGGCAGAAAACGAGAACCGUUGCGUGCGCUAACCAAAGGAUCCUCCUGCCUUCCCCCAGAAGGGCCCGGUGUGGGUACAGGACGCAUCCGCUUGCUGUCGAGGAGAAGGCAGGCUCCUUAUGAGCCCCUUUGGCAGGCACUCGGGCAUGAUCUGCUUGUAAGUGAGGAGCAGGCCAGCCUCCUCUGAGGCCCCUUCCCCAGCCAUCAGCGUCCAGAGUCCUGGCCCUUCCUCCCUGGCCUCCAACGCGCCCGGAUGCCUCUGGCAAAGCCUCAGGCCUCCUGCGCAGACGUGCUGCUGGAGGAGGACCCCGCUUCUGCGGUGGGGUGAAGCGGGCAAGAAGAAGGUGGCUUUGGAGAAGCUGCAAGCGACGAGAGUGAAGAAUCUGCAAGCAAGUCACGAGGCCGAAGAUGCAAGUCGGAGAAGACGGAGGAGAAGGAAAGGGACCCUUGACGCUGGCACCUCCGUGUAGGCAGGGCUCCGGAAGCAGAUCCACGUUCCCUGCUGCUCCUGAGCCCCUUUGUUGCCCAGAGCAGCGUGGCCGCCCUGUAACGAGGGCCGCGGUCUCUGCUCAGUUGGCCGUCUGCCCAGCUACCCCUCUUGCCGGCUGGUGAGAGUGACUGCCCUGUAAGGAGGGUGGAAGUCAGCGUGCUGCCCAUUUCUGGGGGAGAGGGAGCUCUUCAGGUGCCUGAGCCAUGGGACCAGCCCGUAAACCGGGUCCUGGUCUCGGCACCGGCGGCCCUAUGCCGUGCAAUGGCAGCCUGCGUAGCGUGGCCCCCUGUAAUCAGGGUGGGAGCCGCGGGCUACGUAUUUCUAGGCCCUUGGUACCCGGAGCCGCCUGCCCGCUCCGUAAUCGGGGUCGAGGUCUCUGCCCGCGGGGCUUCACGCCCGGGCGGCAGUUACUGGGGCCGGGCUCGCCUGUAACUCGGGCGCGUAGCCCCAGGCUUCACUGUCUCGGUGUGUGCCGUGUGCUGCACUUUGAGAGGAGGUGUGAAGGCCUUUUGGGUGUAAGUAUCGGCCCCCUGCCGGUAGGCUGGAUGUAGUUUUAUACCUGUCUGCCCCUGGGAGAAGAGGAGGCCGGCGGCGGUGCUGCAGCGUGCUCUUUUUUUCUCUUCUGGGAAGACUUUUGUUUGGUGUGUCUGUUGGUGUGCGUGGGGAUGAGCGUGGCUGUUGCGGAAGGUGUUGUUUUGCGUGUUUAGGCCCUAACUUACUGCAGCGUACUUUAUUCAGCCUUCCCAGAGGCAGAAAACGAGAACCGUUGCGUGCGCUAACCAAAGGAUCCUCCUGCCUUCCCCCAGAAGGGCCCGGUGUGGGUACAGGACGCAUCCGCUUGCUGUCGAGGAGAAGGCAGGCUCCUUAUGAGCCCCUUUGGCAGGCACUCGGGCAUGAUCUGCUUGUAAGUGAGGAGCAGGCCAGCCUCCUCUGAGGCCCCUUCCCCAGCCAUCAGCGUCCAGAGUCCUGGCCCUUCCUCCCUGGCCUCCAACGCGCCCGGAUGCCUCUGGCAAAGCCUCAGGCCUCCUGCGCAGACGUGCUGCUGGAGGAGGACCCCGCUUCUGCGGUGGGGUGAAGCGGGCAAGAAGAAGGUGGCUUUGGAGAAGCUGCAAGCGACGAGAGUGAAGAAUCUGCAAGCAAGUCACGAGGCCGAAGAUGCAAGUCGGAGAAGACGGAGGAGAAGGAAAGGGACCCUUGACGCUGGCACCUCCGUGUAGGCAGGGCUCCGGAAGCAGAUCCACGUUCCCUGCUGCUCCUGAGCCCCUUUGUUGCCCAGAGCAGCGUGGCCGCCCUGUAACGAGGGCCGCGGUCUCUGCUCAGUUGGCCGUCUGCCCAGCUACCCCUCUUGCCGGCUGGUGAGAGUGACUGCCCUGUAAGGAGGGUGGAAGUCAGCGUGCUGCCCAUUUCUGGGGGAGAGGGAGCUCUUCAGGUGCCUGAGCCAUGGGACCAGCCCGUAAACCGGGUCCUGGUCUCGGCACCGGCGGCCCUAUGCCGUGCAAUGGCAGCCUGCGUAGCGUGGCCCCCUGUAAUCAGGGUGGGAGCCGCGGGCUACGUAUUUCUAGGCCCUUGGUACCCGGAGCCGCCUGCCCGCUCCGUAAUCGGGGUCGAGGUCUCUGCCCGCGGGGCUUCACGCCCGGGCGGCAGUUACUGGGGCCGGGCUCGCCUGUAACUCGGGCGCGUAGCCCCAGGCUUCACUGUCUCGGUGUGUGCCGUGUGCUGCACUUUGAGAGGAGGUGUGAAGGCCUUUUGGGUGUAAGUAUCGGCCCCCUGCCGGUAGGCUGGAUGUAGUUUUAUACCUGUCUGCCCCUGGGAGAAGAGGAGGCCGGCGGCGGUGCUGCAGCGUGCUCUUUUUUUCUCUUCUGGGAAGACUUUUGUUUGGUGUGUCUGUUGGUGUGCGUGGGGAUGAGCGUGGCUGUUGCGGAAGGUGUUGUUUUGCGUGUUUAGGCCCUAACUUACUGCAGCGUACUUUAUUCAGCCUUCCCAGAGGCAGAAAACGAGAACCGUUGCGUGCGCUAACCAAAGGAUCCUCCUGCCUUCCCCCAGAAGGGCCCGGUGUGGGUACAGGACGCAUCCGCUUGCUGUCGAGGAGAAGGCAGGCUCCUUAUGAGCCCCUUUGGCAGGCACUCGGGCAUGAUCUGCUUGUAAGUGAGGAGCAGGCCAGCCUCCUCUGAGGCCCCUUCCCCAGCCAUCAGCGUCCAGAGUCCUGGCCCUUCCUCCCUGGCCUCCAACGCGCCCGGAUGCCUCUGGCAAAGCCUCAGGCCUCCUGCGCAGACGUGCUGCUGGAGGAGGACCCCGCUUCUGCGGUGGGGUGAAGCGGGCAAGAAGAAGGUGGCUUUGGAGAAGCUGCAAGCGACGAGAGUGAAGAAUCUGCAAGCAAGUCACGAGGCCGAAGAUGCAAGUCGGAGAAGACGGAGGAGAAGGAAAGGGACCCUUGACGCUGGCACCUCCGUGUAGGCAGGGCUCCGGAAGCAGAUCCACGUUCCCUGCUGCUCCUGAGCCCCUUUGUUGCCCAGAGCAGCGUGGCCGCCCUGUAACGAGGGCCGCGGUCUCUGCUCAGUUGGCCGUCUGCCCAGCUACCCCUCUUGCCGGCUGGUGAGAGUGACUGCCCUGUAAGGAGGGUGGAAGUCAGCGUGCUGCCCAUUUCUGGGGGAGAGGGAGCUCUUCAGGUGCCUGAGCCAUGGGACCAGCCCGUAAACCGGGUCCUGGUCUCGGCACCGGCGGCCCUAUGCCGUGCAAUGGCAGCCUGCGUAGCGUGGCCCCCUGUAAUCAGGGUGGGAGCCGCGGGCUACGUAUUUCUAGGCCCUUGGUACCCGGAGCCGCCUGCCCGCUCCGUAAUCGGGGUCGAGGUCUCUGCCCGCGGGGCUUCACGCCCGGGCGGCAGUUACUGGGGCCGGGCUCGCCUGUAACUCGGGCGCGUAGCCCCAGGCUUCACUGUCUCGGUGUGUGCCGUGUGCUGCACUUUGAGAGGAGGUGUGAAGGCCUUUUGGGUGUAAGUAUCGGCCCCCUGCCGGUAGGCUGGAUGUAGUUUUAUACCUGUCUGCCCCUGGGAGAAGAGGAGGCCGGCGGCGGUGCUGCAGCGUGCUCUUUUUUUCUCUUCUGGGAAGACUUUUGUUUGGUGUGUCUGUUGGUGUGCGUGGGGAUGAGCGUGGCUGUUGCGGAAGGUGUUGUUUUGCGUGUUUAGGCCCUAACUUACUGCAGCGUACUUUAUUCAGCCUUCCCAGAGGCAGAAAACGAGAACCGUUGCGUGCGCUAACCAAAGGAUCCUCCUGCCUUCCCCCAGAAGGGCCCGGUGUGGGUACAGGACGCAUCCGCUUGCUGUCGAGGAGAAGGCAGGCUCCUUAUGAGCCCCUUUGGCAGGCACUCGGGCAUGAUCUGCUUGUAAGUGAGGAGCAGGCCAGCCUCCUCUGAGGCCCCUUCCCCAGCCAUCAGCGUCCAGAGUCCUGGCCCUUCCUCCCUGGCCUCCAACGCGCCCGGAUGCCUCUGGCAAAGCCUCAGGCCUCCUGCGCAGACGUGCUGCUGGAGGAGGACCCCGCUUCUGCGGUGGGGUGAAGCGGGCAAGAAGAAGGUGGCUUUGGAGAAGCUGCAAGCGACGAGAGUGAAGAAUCUGCAAGCAAGUCACGAGGCCGAAGAUGCAAGUCGGAGAAGACGGAGGAGAAGGAAAGGGACCCUUGACGCUGGCACCUCCGUGUAGGCAGGGCUCCGGAAGCAGAUCCACGUUCCCUGCUGCUCCUGAGCCCCUUUGUUGCCCAGAGCAGCGUGGCCGCCCUGUAACGAGGGCCGCGGUCUCUGCUCAGUUGGCCGUCUGCCCAGCUACCCCUCUUGCCGGCUGGUGAGAGUGACUGCCCUGUAAGGAGGGUGGAAGUCAGCGUGCUGCCCAUUUCUGGGGGAGAGGGAGCUCUUCAGGUGCCUGAGCCAUGGGACCAGCCCGUAAACCGGGUCCUGGUCUCGGCACCGGCGGCCCUAUGCCGUGCAAUGGCAGCCUGCGUAGCGUGGCCCCCUGUAAUCAGGGUGGGAGCCGCGGGCUACGUAUUUCUAGGCCCUUGGUACCCGGAGCCGCCUGCCCGCUCCGUAAUCGGGGUCGAGGUCUCUGCCCGCGGGGCUUCACGCCCGGGCGGCAGUUACUGGGGCCGGGCUCGCCUGUAACUCGGGCGCGUAGCCCCAGGCUUCACUGUCUCGGUGUGUGCCGUGUGCUGCACUUUGAGAGGAGGUGUGAAGGCCUUUUGGGUGUAAGUAUCGGCCCCCUGCCGGUAGGCUGGAUGUAGUUUUAUACCUGUCUGCCCCUGGGAGAAGAGGAGGCCGGCGGCGGUGCUGCAGCGUGCUCUUUUUUUCUCUUCUGGGAAGACUUUUGUUUGGUGUGUCUGUUGGUGUGCGUGGGGAUGAGCGUGGCUGUUGCGGAAGGUGUUGUUUUGCGUGUUUAGGCCCUAACUUACUGCAGCGUACUUUAUUCAGCCUUCCCAGAGGCAGAAAACGAGAACCGUUGCGUGCGCUAACCAAAGGAUCCUCCUGCCUUCCCCCAGAAGGGCCCGGUGUGGGUACAGGACGCAUCCGCUUGCUGUCGAGGAGAAGGCAGGCUCCUUAUGAGCCCCUUUGGCAGGCACUCGGGCAUGAUCUGCUUGUAAGUGAGGAGCAGGCCAGCCUCCUCUGAGGCCCCUUCCCCAGCCAUCAGCGUCCAGAGUCCUGGCCCUUCCUCCCUGGCCUCCAACGCGCCCGGAUGCCUCUGGCAAAGCCUCAGGCCUCCUGCGCAGAUGUGCUGCUGGAGGAGGACCCCACUUUGAGAGGAGGAAUUUUUGCAGCAAGCUGCAGCUGGCUGUUAACCCUUCUGAUUGUGUUGGGUAUUUUUUUUGCAUAAGAGAUGCAUGAGGAGCAUGCACUGCAUAAAUGGAAGGCAUUGACAGCCUGUAGUCUCCAGGUAGUCGUCAUUAUUUUCUGCCCACUUUAAGCCACGAGUAUAAUCCAGGCUCAGUUUGCCACUGACAGGCAUUACUUUUGAAGCAGUUUAAUCUACAGUGUCCUUAUACUACCCAAGCCUAUACUGGGGUGCUAAAUCUAACUUCAGUCUGUUUAGAAUAUCUCCGUCACCAUCAGUAUUGACUGAGCCCUUGGUUUGCUCUAAACAACUUAUUUUUUCUCUCUGAAGGCAAAACAAAAUAUUGUUUUCUAACAGUUGAUUUUUGGAAAUGAUCACGCUUUGGGUGUUAAAAGAAAUUCCCAGCAAUUUAUGUUAUUUCUUUUCUUGUAGGUGGGACUGAGAUAGCAAUAUAUACAUUUUAUGGAGGGCUUAACCAGGUCUUAUUAAAGUCUUAAAUUGUUAUG